Molecule: ribosomal RNA, 253 nt
Filed under: uncultured bacterium
Lineage: Bacteria
Description: partial 16S ribosomal RNA
Rfam family: Bacterial small subunit ribosomal RNA
Source: RNAcentral
UACAGAGGUGGCAAGCGUUGUUCGGAAUUACUGGGCGUAAAGGGCGCGUAGGCGGCCUGUUAAGUCGGACGUGAAAUCCCUCGGCUCAACCGGGGAACUGCGUCCGAAACUGGCGGGCUUGAAUUCGGGAGAGGGAUGUGGAAUUCCAGGUGUAGCGGUGAAAUGCGUAGAUAUCUGGAGGAACACCGGUGGCGAAGGCGGCAUCCUGGACCGACAUUGACGCUGAGGCGCGAAAGCCAGGGGAGCAAACGGG